UACGCGCGGAUCUUCCAGAGAUUAGAGUUUGAUCCUGGCUCAGAUUGAACGCUGGCGGCAGGCCUAACACAUGCAAGUCGAACGGUAACAGGAAGCAGCUUGCUGCUUCGCUGACGAGUGGCGGACGGGUGAGUAAUGUCUGGGAAACUGCCUGAUGGAGGGGGAUAACUACUGGAAACGGUAGCUAAUACCGCAUAACGUCGCAAGACCAAAGAGGGGGACCUUAGGGCCUCUUGCCAUCGGAUGUGCCCAGAUGGGAUUAGCUAGUAGGUGGGGUAACGGCUCACCUAGGCGACGAUCCCUAGCUGGUCUGAGAGGAUGACCAGCCACACUGGAACUGAGACACGGUCCAGACUCCUACGGGAGGCAGCAGUGGGGAAUAUUGCACAAUGGGCGCAAGCCUGAUGCAGCCAUGCCGCGUGUAUGAAGAAGGCCUCCGGGUUGUAAAGUACUUUCAGCGGGGAGGAAGGGAGUAAAGUUAAUACCUUUGCUCAUUGACGUUACCCGCAGAAGAAGCACCGGCUAACUCCGUGCCUGCAGCCGCGGUAAUACGGAGG
RNAcentral lists this ribosomal RNA (557 nucleotides) under uncultured bacterium. RNAcentral describes it as "bacterial SSU rRNA". It matches the Rfam family "Bacterial small subunit ribosomal RNA", at positions 1 to 531 of the family's 1533-position model. The record is from RNAcentral.